Molecule: transfer RNA, 73 nt
Filed under: Cytophagales bacterium
Lineage: Bacteria; Pseudomonadati; Bacteroidota; Cytophagia; Cytophagales
Description: tRNA-Arg
Rfam family: tRNA
About the family: Transfer RNA (tRNA) molecules are approximately 80 nucleotides in length.
Source: RNAcentral
GUCUCCGUAGUUCAACUGGAUAGAGCGUAAGAUUCCGGUUCUUAAGAUAGGGGUUCGAGUCCUCUCGGAGACA